This 279-nucleotide ribosomal RNA is filed under the name uncultured bacterium. RNAcentral's name for it is "partial 16S ribosomal RNA". It matches the Rfam family "Bacterial small subunit ribosomal RNA", at positions 506 to 784 of the family's 1533-position model. The record is from RNAcentral.
UGCCAGCAGCCGCGGUAAUACGAAGGGGGCUAGCGUUGUUCGGAAUUACUGGGCGUAAAGCGCGCGCAGGCGGUUUGCCAAGUUGAGAGUGAAAUCCCAGGGCUCAACCCUGGAACUGCUUUCAAAACUGGCAGACUAGAGUAUGGUAGAGGACAGUGGAAUUCCUAGUGUAGAGGUGAAAUUCGUAGAUAUUAGGAGGAACACCAGUGGCGAAGGCGACUGUCUGGGCCAUUACUGACGCUGAGGCGCGAAAGCGUGGGGAGCAAACAGGAUUAGAUA